CCCUUAGAUGUUCUGGGCUGCACGCGCGCUACACUGAUGCGUUCAACGAGUACAGCCUUGACCGGAAGGUUUGGGUAAUCUGUGAAUGCGCAUCGUGAUGGGGAUAGAUUAUUGCAAUUAUUAAUCUUCAACGAGGAAUUCCUAGUAAGCGCAAGUCAUCAGCUUGCGCUGAUUACGUCCCUGCCCUUUGUACACACCGCCCGUCGCUCCUACCGAUUGAAUGAUCCGGUGAGCUUUUUGGACUGUGGUCACGGCUUUGGUUCGCCAAACUGAGGCCGCGGGAAGAUGCGCAAACCUUAUCAUUUAGAGGAAGGAGAAGUCGUAACA
This 327-nucleotide ribosomal RNA is filed under the name uncultured eukaryote. Its description in RNAcentral is "partial 18S ribosomal RNA". It matches the Rfam family "Eukaryotic small subunit ribosomal RNA", at positions 1470 to 1796 of the family's 1831-position model. The record is from RNAcentral.